CGCGGGAAAACUCACCAGGUCAGGACACGGUAAGGAUUGACGGACUGAAGGCUCUUUCUCGAUUCCGUGGAAAGUGGUGCAUGGCCGUUUUUGGUUGGUGGAUCGAUCCGUCUGGUUAAUUCCGUUAACGAACGAGACCUCGGCACUCCGAAUAGCGCGGCGGACGUCGCGGCCUCCGGGCCGUCUUCCGCACGAGCUUCUUAGAGGGACCGUCCCCCGCCGGGGAAGGAGGUGCGAGGCAACGACAGGUCUGUGAUGCCCUUAGAUGUUCUGGGCCGCACGCGCAUUACACUGACGCGUCCAACGGGUGACUCCCGACCCGAAGGGGCCGGGGAAUCCGCAAGGCGCGUCGUGAUGGGGAUUGAACGUUGCAAUUGUUGUUCACGAACGAGGAAUUCCUAGUAGGCGCGGGUCAUCAACCCGCGCCGAUUACGUCCCUGCCCUUUGUACAC
Molecule: ribosomal RNA, 452 nt
Filed under: uncultured eukaryote
Lineage: Eukaryota
Description: bacterial SSU rRNA
Rfam family: Eukaryotic small subunit ribosomal RNA
Source: RNAcentral